AGUCGAGCGAGUCUGCCUUGAAGAUCGGAGUGCUUGCACUCUGUGAAACAAGAUACAGGCUAGCGGCGGACGGGUGAGUAACACGUGGGUAACCUGCCCAAGAGAUCGGGAUAACACCUGGAAACAGAUGCUAAUACCGGAUAACAACAGAUGAUGCCUAUCAACUGUUUAAAAGAUGGUUCUGCUAUCACUCUUGGAUGGACCUGCGGUGCAUUAGCUAGUUGGUAGGGUAACGGCCUACCAAGGCGAUGAUGCAUAGCCGAGUUGAGAGACUGAUCGGCCACAUUGGGACUGAGACACGGCCCAAACUCCUACGGGAGGCAGCAGUAGGGAAUCUUCCACAAUGGACGCAAGUCUGAUGGAGCAACGCCGCGUGAGUGAAGAAGGGUUUCGGCUCGUAAAGCUCUGUUGUUGGUGAAGAAGGACAGGGGUAGUAACUGACCUUUGUUUGACGGUAAUCAAUUAGAAAGUCACGGCUAACUACGUGCCAGCAGCCGCGGUAAUACGUAGGUGGCAAGCGUUGUCCGGAUUUAUUGGGCGUAAAGCGAGUGCAGGCGGCUCGAUAAGUCUGAUGUGAAAGCCUUCGGCUCAACCGGAGAAUUGCAUCAGAAACUGUCGAGCUUGAGUACAGAAGAGGAGAGUGGAACUCCAUGUGUAGCGGUGAAAUGCGUAGAUAUAUGGAAGAACACCGGUGGCGAAGGCGGCUCUCUGGUCUGUUACUGACGCUGAGGCUCGAAAGCAUGGGUAGCGAACAGGAUUAGAUACCCUGGUAGUCCAUGCCGUAAACGAUGAGUGCUAAGUGUUGGGAGGUUUCCGCCUCUCAGUGCUGCAGCUAACGCAUUA
This 843-nucleotide ribosomal RNA is filed under the name uncultured bacterium. RNAcentral describes it as "bacterial SSU rRNA". It matches the Rfam family "Bacterial small subunit ribosomal RNA", at positions 60 to 862 of the family's 1533-position model. The record is from RNAcentral.